AUUGAACGCUGGCGGAAUGCUUUACACAUGCAAGUCGAACGGUAGAGGGGGCAACCCCUCGAGAGUGGCGAACGGGUGAGUAAUAUAUCGGAACGUGCCCAGUCGUGGGGGAUAACGUAGCGAAAGUUACGCUAAUACCGCAUACGAUCUACGGAUGAAAGCGGGGGAUCGCAAGACCUCGCGCGAUUGGAGCGGCCGAUAUCAGAUUAGGUAGUUGGUGGGGUAAAGGCUCACCAAGCCAACGAUCUGUAGCUGGUCUGAGAGGACGACCAGCCACACUGGAACUGAGACACGGUCCAGACUCCUACGGGAGGCAGCAGUGGGGAAUUUUGGACAAUGGACGCAAGUCUGAUCCAGCCAUUCCGCGUGCAGGAUGAAGGCCCUCGGGUUGUAAACUGCUUUUGUACGGAACGAAAAGGUUUCCAUUAAUACUGGGAGCUCAUGACGGUACCGUAAGAAUAAGCACCGGCUAACUACGUGCCAGCAGCCGCCGCUG
This 496-nucleotide ribosomal RNA is filed under the name uncultured bacterium. Its description in RNAcentral is "partial 16S ribosomal RNA". It matches the Rfam family "Bacterial small subunit ribosomal RNA", at positions 30 to 523 of the family's 1533-position model. The record is from RNAcentral.